AAAAUUGUUGAAAAGUCAAAAUUAGGUGAAAUUUGGUCACCAAUUUUGACUAGUUUUAUUAUUAACAAAUCAAAAAGAAAAAGCUAUCAUUUUUCUCUUCUCCUUCACCGAAAUAUGCAGCAAAGAAAGGGUUUUGAAGCAGGAAAAUUUCAGCAACAUAUUUCCCUUGCUUGUAAGUGAUUUUAAUGUCAUUGCUUGAUGAUUUUUACAUUUUUGGAACCCCUAAAGCAUGAGCUUUCAUAAGAGGGGACUAUUUUGCAAAAUGAAAAAGAGUCUAGGGUUCUGCCAUGAGAGUAAAUGUGUUGUUUGCUGUGUUUUUAUGGAGUAAAUGUGUUGUUUGCUGUGUUUUUAUGGAAGAUUAUGAGUCCUAGUUGUCUAAUAAACAACUUUUGUGAAAGAAAUUGCAUGAAAACACCUUAAAAAGGGCUAGAUUGCUAAGUUGUAAAAUAAGUUGUAAUGUGUAAAAUAGUUGAAAUUAUGAGUUUAUAUAGUUAUGAAAAUGGUUCAUCUAGACUCAAGGAGUAAAGAAAUGUGAUAAUAAUUAUUUUACGAGCAUUGGGGCAAAAGUGCAAAUAUGCAAAAGUUUAGGGAUCAAAAUAAAAAUUUGUAAAAAUAUGAUUUUUAGACCCAUAUGAAUAUUGUGACUGAUUGGUAGGCUAAAUGUGAUAUUAUAGAUCAAGAAAAUCGAGAUUUGGACCUAGAACGGAAAGAAAUCGAUUAAGGGAUGAUUAUGUCCUUUUCACCUUUGUGGUAUCGAGGUAAGUUUGUAUGUAAACAAUACCAUGCUAUACAUGUAUUUAAAUGUUAUCAUGACAUGAAUUGUACAGAUAUUAAGUGUAUGUGAUUAAUAGAAAUAUGAUAAGACAAAGCCUUAAUAGACGAGGAAAAAUCCCAUUUGAACCUUAGAAAUAGAAUAGGAUACGAGUGACAUGUCACUAGGAAUUAUGAGUCUAGAUGACUAACUCGAGAGUGAGCAUUGAAACGUCAUGAGAUAUGAGGUAGCUUUAGCUACAAUUGAGGCACUUAUGUGCAAAGGCUUUUCCGAGUAUCCAAUUAGUAUUCCAAGUGUUCAACGGGUAAUCCAAGGAAAGAGUUGAUGAUGGUCCCAACGAGGUAAGUCAUUGGUGAGUAUACACUUGAGUUAUGUUACGAGUUGUGCAAGUAUGUAUAUUAAGCCUAUGAGAAUGCCUUGAUAUGUGAUGAUCUAUGAUGCAUAAUAUGUGUUCUUACCAUGAUGGAUGAAAUGAUGUUGUAUUAAUUUUGUGAACAAUGAUCAUGAAUGAGUAACUUAGCCUUGACAGAUUUGAGUUACUGUAGUAAUGUAACUUUGAAAAUACACUAAAAAUAGUGGAAAAUUAGUUAGAGGCAGAAUAAAAUAUGAGAUUAAAGCUUAAUGAGUCUAUUUUCACAUGAAAGAAACAGAGGAAGAAAAAGAAUUCUAUAUUGUGUGAUAUUUGAAUUCUUGUAAAACAGGGUCUGAAUGAAUUCGAGAUCCCCUGUUCUAACUUUAGAAAUUCAUCAUAAAUUGUAAAAAAAUUAUUAAGAGUCAUACCUUACUUGCAUGGAUUCCUUAUUGAGUCUAUUUUUAAGGGAAAAAAUGGCAUCGUCGUUGGAAUUUUGUACAGGGAGAAAUUCGGUUUGUAGUGCACAAGGGUCAGAGUGGUCAUACCCUGAAACAAGAGAGACUUUAACUAAUAAACUGUACUAAAUGGCUUGACCAAAAAUUCUAGAAAAAAAUUAGUAAGUAUACAUAUGAGUAUAGUUUCAUGAUAAAUAGACGAGAACAUUAUUCGAAUCCUGUACUAUGAGAUAAUUGAACUUUAGUGCAGAAGGGUUGAAACUGUCAGACAGUGAAUCAGGAGCAAACUUGAGGAAUAAACUGUACUAAUUGGCUAAGUCAAAAAUUCUGGAAAUUUUAUGAAAGAAAGAUAAAUGAGUCUAGUUUCAUGGAAAAUUAACGGAACUUAAUUUGGAGUUUCGUAGCUCCAGAUAUAAAUAAUUUAGUGACUAUUGCUCAGGUAGACAGCUUGCAGUGAACUUGAGAAUAUGUUGUAAACAUUGAUAAAACAAGUUAAUGAGUUGCUUAUUGUUUUCAUAUGAACUUACUAAGCGAAAGCUUACCCCCCUUUCUUUCCCAUGUUUUCUAGAGUUUCCAGGUUAGCUCGGGUUGAAGGCCGUUAGAGAUAUUAUCACACUGUCGAGUUAACGCUAUCGGCGUAAGUAAACUCAAGUGAUUCUAGUCUAUGGCAUGUAUAGGGUUUUAAUGGGAGUAUGUAAUAUUAUGAUUUAGCCAAAGGCAUUGGCUUGUUAUUAAGGUGGUAUUAGUCAUGUAAAUUGGCCUAUGUCGGCUAAUAUCGUUAUGGGCCCAUAUGAUUAUUCUUAUGCAUGUAUGUUAUUAUCUCUUGUGAUGUGGCUUACAACAUGUAUGCCUAGAGAUUGAAUUGAGAUUCAUUGAUGAGCUAAUAACUAAUGCAGGAUUAAGUGAUUGGUAAAUAGUUAAUAAUGCUUCAUGAAUGGUUUGUGGAUAUGAUUAUUUAUGCUUUGUGAUGGACAUGAGGUUUGAUGACAUGUUGAUAGCUAUAGCAUUAAUAUGGUAAAGAUGAAAGAAAAACUUAUUGUAAUGGUUGCAUGUGAAAUUACCAUGGUCAUGUCAUGUUAGGAAGGUUUAAGUGCCUAAUUUUGCCAUGUUGUAUGCUAUUGUAUAAGUAUGCGUGCAUGUGUUGUGAGUGUGACAAAAUGGCUUGGAAAAUAGCCUUGUAUUUGUCCAGGUUUUGGACAUGGGUUCGGGACACGGGCGUGUUCUUAGCACCCGAGCGUGUGUUCUAUACCUACACGGGCGUGUGGAGCCUUGAUACAAGAGAUUUCCUAAGUUUUUCAUGAGUUCUCGGUUGGGUCCCGAACCAUCCCGAAUGCAUGUAUUGGGCCUCGUAAGCUCGCAUAAAGGACAGAUUGCAUGAGAAAAGAAAAGUUUUUAAUUAUUUGAGAUUUCAUGGCCCUGUUUAGUAUGGAAGUGUUAGUAAAAGUCAGGUAGCACCUCGAACCCCGUCCAGGCGUCGAAUGCGGGCGAGGGGUGUUACAUUUAGUGGUAUCAGAGCAUGGUUUAGUCGAUUCUUGGACUAAUCUAACGUAAGAGAGUCUAGCUAUACAUGCCAUAGUAUUACUCGUGAUAGUGUGAUAUCUCUCGGCCCUAACAAAACUGCUGGUUAAGACAGGAAUGAAUUCGAACCGAGCAAAUCUUGAUAAAGAUAAGAGUAAAGUUGAGAUUAUUGAAUCAUGCUUGUGACAUGCUGAAAAUGGGAAAGGUAUGAAAAGAUAUUCAUGAUUUUCAUAUGAACUAGUAUUCACUAUGUGAUACUCUUGAGUUAAAGAAUGUGAAAUAGUGGAGUAAAACACAGUUAAGUUGUGAAAAACAUUUUUAUGCAUGUUAGUAUUCAUACGAUGUUAAAUGUCCAACUUGAUUUGGCCAAGUGUUUAUGAAAAGAAAGAAAUUUGCUUGAAGUGACAGAGUGUAUGUAUGAAUGCUUUAAUUGCAUGAUUAGUAAUCAGUAUAUACAUGAGGUUGACAUUUUUGUCUAGAUUAAUAAAGUCAAGAUGCCGAAAUGUUAUGCCUUAUAAUCUUACUUAUAGAAUCAUAAAUGUCACAAUAGCAUGAAAGUUGUAAUGAAAGAUCAAAUUGGGUGGAACGCAGGGAAUGUGUACGAUCGUUCACUAAUGAAUUGACGGAAAAGACUAUGGUUGGACCGUGGCAAUACAUGAGAUUUGUGUGCCAGUGUAAGACCAUGUCUGGGACAUGGCAUCGGCAUUGAGAAGAGGGCUAGUGUAAGACAUGUCUAGGACAUGCAUCAGCCACAGUAUGAGAGCCAGUGUAAGACAUGUCUGAGACAUGCAUCGGCCUCGAGAUGUUAGCCAGUGUCAGACAUGUCUGGGACAUGCGUCGGCUACGAGAUGUGCUAGUGUAAGACAUGUCUGGGACAUGCGUCAGCACGGUUACAUGUGUCAGUAUAAGACCUAUCUGGGACACAGCAUCGACACAGAUGGAUGAGAGCUAGUACAAGACCAUAGUUGAACUAUGGCAUCAAGUAAACGAUGUACUCAAAAUUGUAAGACGUUCUCCAAUUUGAUAAAUAUUGGCAAGUGAUUAAGACUAAAUAUGAGAAUUUGAUAAAACAUUAAGGGUAAUUUGAGAAAAAGAAAUGAAAGUUUGAGUUAUGAUAAAUUCACUUAUGUUUAGCUAAUAUUCGCAUGAAAUAAAGUUACAUGUAUUACUGAGAUAUGUGAAAAUGUAUUUAAAACAAGUUGGAAAUUUGAAAUGUUUGAAUCAAUAUGCGUAAAGCUAUGUUGUUGUUGAAUAUGUAUUUGCUUGAGAGUCAAAAGUUUAGAGGAUUUACAAUCUUCGCCCCCUUACCAGAAUAGAGUUAUACGAUGAGAUUCUCGAGAGAUAUGUUGCAUAAGCUUGCAAAAGUGAAACUGAAGAGUACAAAAAUGGAAUAGUAUGAGAUUAGCAAAGAUAGAAUUAGUUAGAGGAAUAAUGUCGGACUUGCACAGAUGUCUGAGUAUGACGAAUUCAAUUAAACAAAAGUGAUGGCUAUCUUUCUCUUCUGAGUAUUCUAUGUUUUCCUCUAUUCUGGGGAAUACGUAUGGUUAUCCCUUUCGACUGAGAAUUCUAUUGUGUGAGGAUGCUAGUGACUAUGAUAUUAGAUGAAAAGUUCUAUUGGUCCAGUUAGUUAUGAUCUACAUUUCCUCAUCUCUUCAGAUUUCUAUUCUGAUAUAUUGGAAUGAAGUUGACAGUAAAAAUCUAUGUAAGAUUAUUCUGAUGUUCUAUUGAUUAUGGUUUAUAUAUGCGAGAAUUAUAUUAUCUCUGUUACGAGAAAUUCUAGAGCGUACAGACAGUAGUUUCUUUCUGGUUUUCUCUGAGGGAUUUUCCGGAUCAUCUUCAUUAUUUUCUUCUGGAUUAUAUUCUCGGAUUUCUGGUAUAGUCUUUAUAUCUUGGAAUUUCUUAUAUUGAUUUUUCUCUCGUUCUUGUUUCGAGAAUUAUCAAGCUUGGUUUAUUUUUACAAGUAAUCUUUGACUUGCGAUAUUAGAAUCUGUUAUGAUUAAGCUUCUGGCUCGACCAUAAAAGUGUGGGGAUUUCAGUAUCGAGAUUUCUUUAAAAUCUUGGGGAAAUGAAUGGUUAUUCUGCAAAAGUAAAUCUGAGUUAUGUGCAUUUAAGUUUAUUCUCUGGUUCGAGAAUACCAUUACAUGUUCUUUGGUAAGUAGUCGUACAGUCAGAAAUGAUGGGGUUUUAUUCUUGAAAGUAUGUUAUGGAAACAUAUUAGUUGGAUUUUUCUUGUCCGAGAGAUGUUAUAAGUAUAGUUAUCCUGAUUAGUAAAGAGACCACAUCUAUGAAGUUGGAAUCAUUUGAUUCAUGUUAGUGAAGUUUCUAAACAGUUGAUGAUAAGAGUAUAGAAAUGUGGCUAUAAGUGGUAAAUUAAACAAGUACAGCAUGAUUCGACUUUUAAUUUGGAAUUGCAAGGAAGAUUUGAUUUCUGGUUUCUGUUACUAUUAUUUCAGAGUAAGAUUAGGGUACUGAGAAACUCCAGGCUAUGCAGAGAAGUGUGUACAGAGUUCACAGCAGUCUUUUGUUUAUUCUUCCAAAGGAUGUUAAAUUGACUACCGGGGAAAGCCGAUUAUCAGAUAUAUUCAAGAUUAUAAUUGUCAAUGCUGACAUUGAAAGAGAAAAUUGAGAAAUGAUUAGUAUGAAUUUUGUAUCGGGAUGUCUCUCUUCUCCGGGAAAUAAGAGAUACCAUAAUGGAUUGUGAUAGAUUGAUGAUAGUAGUCCGUAUGACUAUUUUGGUAUAUACAGAGCUAUUGUUAUACGGAUUGGGACGAGUUGUGUUUCUAAGCUUAUAGUUCUUAGAAUGUCAGUUUUCAGUAUUUCGAAUUGAGCCGAGAAUUUUAUGGUAAUUGUGGAAAGGUUACAGAAAUCCUGAGUAUCAGCUUCAGCUCAGUUGUUUUGUAAGUUUUGAGAAAAAGAUAUAAGUGACUCGUGAAAGUAGAGAGCAACUUUUUUUGGUAAGAUUUUCGGGGACGAAAAUCCCUAAAGGGGGGAAGAAAUGUAACAGCCCGAUUUUGGGCCUAGUCGGAACAGUGGUUUCGGGACCACUAUUUCGAGGCUAGAUAAAAUUAUUUUAGUAUUAUUUUAUGUGUUAUAAUAUAAUUUUAUAAGUGCAUGUAAAUUUUGGUAAGUUAAUUUUAGCAAUUUCUAGUCCAAUUCCGAAAAAGGACUAAAUCGCGUAAAAGGUAAAAGUUGUGUUUUAAUACCUAAAGGUGUGUUAAAUUGCCUUGUAUCUUAAAUUGGGGGUCUUUAAAGUGAAAUUAGGCCAUUGAAAGUGUGAUGGCCGGCCAUGGGAGACAAAAUUGUUGAAAAGUCAAAAUUAGGUGAAAUUUGGUCACCAAUUUUGACUAGUUUUAUUAUUAACAAAUCAAAAAGAAAAAGCUAUCAUUUUUCUCUUCUCCUUCACCGAAAUAUGCAGCAAAGAAAGGGUUUUGAAGCUGGAAAAUUUCAGCAACAUAUUUCCCUUGCUUGUAAGUGAUUUUAAUGUCUUUGCUUGAUGAUUUUUACAUUUUUGGAACCCCUAAAGCAUGAGCUUUCAUAAGAGGGGACUAUUUUGCAAAAUGAUGAAGAGUCUAGGGUUUUGCCAUGAGAGUAAAUGUGUUGUUUGCUGUGUUUUUAUGGAAGAUUAUGAGUCCUAGUUGUCUAAUAAACAACUUUUGUGAAAGAAAUUACAUGAAAACACCUUAAAAAAGGGCUAGAUUGCUAAGUUGUAAAAUAAGUUGUAAUGUGUAAAAUAGUUAAAAUUAUGAGUUGCUAUAGUUAUGAAAAUGGUUCAUCUAGACUCAAGGAGUAAAGAAAUGUGAUAAAAAUUAUUUACGAGCAUUGAGGCAAAAGUGCAAAUAUGCAAAAGUUUAGGGGUCAAAAUGAAAAUUUGUAAAAAUAUGAUUUUUAUACCCAUAUGAAUAUUGUGACUGAUUGGUAGGCUAAAUGUGAUAUUAUAGAUCAAGAAAAUCGAGAUUUGGACCUAGAACAGAAAGAAAUCGAUUAAGGGAUGAUUAUGUCCUUUUCACCUUUGUGGUAUCGAGGUAAGUUUGUAUGUAAACAAUACCAUGCUAUACAUGUAUUUAAAUGUUAUCAUUACAUGAAUUGUACAGAUGUUAAGUGUAUGUGAUUAAUAGAAAUAUGAUAAGACAAAGCCUUAAUAGACGAGGAAAAAUCCCGUUUGAACCUUAGAAAUAGAAUAGGAUACGAGUGACAUGUCACUAGGAAUUAUGAGUCUAGAUGACUAGCUCGAGAGUGAGCAUUGAAACGUCAUGAGAUAUGAGGUAGCUUUAGCUACAAUUGAGGCACUUAUGUGUAAAGGCUUUUCCGAGUAUCCAAUUAGUAUUCCAAGUGUUCAACGGGUAAUCCAAGGAAAGAGUUGAUGAUGGUCCCAACGAGGUAAGUCAUUGGUGAGUAUACACUUGAGUUAUGUUACGAGUUGUGCAAGUAUGUAUAUUAAGCCUAUGAGAAUGCCUUGAUAUGUGAUGAUCUAUGAUGCAUAAUAUGUGUUCUUACCAUGAUGGAUGAAAUGAUGUUGUAUUAAUUUUGUGAACAAUGAUCAUGAAUGAGUAACUUAGCCUUGACAGAUUUGAGUUACUGUAGUAGUGAAACUUUGAAAAUACACUAAAAAUAGUGGAAAAUUAGUUAGAGGUAGAAUAAAAUAUGAGAUUAAAGCUUAAUGAGUCUAUUUUCACAUGAAAGAAACAGGGGAAGAAAAAGAAUUCUAUAUUGUGUGAUAUUUGAAUUCUUGUAAAACAGGGUCUGAAUGAAUUCGAGAUCCCCUAUUCUAAUUUUAGAAAUUCAUCAUAAAUUGUAAAAAAAUUAUUAAGAGUCAUACCUUAGAUACAUGGAUUCCUUAUUGAGUCUAUUUUUAAGGGAAACAAAUGGCAUUGUCAUUGGAAUUCUGUACAGGGAGAAAUUUGGUUUGUAGUGCACAAGGGUCAGAGUGGUCAUACCCUGAAACAGGGGAGACUUUAACUAAUAAACUGUACUAAAUGGCUUGACCAAAAAUUCUAUAAAAAAAUUAGUAAUUAUACAUAUGAGUAUAGUUUCAAGAUAAAUAGACGAGAACAUUAUUCGAAUUCUGUACUAUGAGAUAAUUGAACUUUAGUGCAGAAGGGUUUAAACUGUCAGACAGUGAAUCAGGGGCAAACUUGAGGAAUAAAUUAUACGAAUUGGCUAAGUCAAAAAUUCUGAAAAUUUUAUGAAAGAAAUAUAAAUGAGUCUAGUUUCAUGGAAAAUUAACGGAACUUAAUUUGGAGUUUCGUAGCUCCAGAUAUAAAUAAUUUAGUGACUAUUGCUCAGGAAGACAGCUUGCAGUAAAUUUGAGAAUAUGUUGUAAACAUUGAUAAAACAAGUUAAUGAGUUGCUUAUUGUUUUCAUAUGAACUUACUAAGCGAAAGCUUACCCCCCCUUCUUUCCCAUGUUUUCUAGAGUUUCCAGGUUAGCUUGGGUUGGAGGCCGUCAGAGAUAUUAUCACACUGUCGAGUUAACGCUAUCGGCGUAAGUAAACUCAAGUGAUUCUAGUCUAUGGCAUGUAUAGGGUUUUAAUGUGAGUAUGUAAUAUUAUGAUUUAGCCAAAGGCAUUGGCUUGUUAUUAAGGUAGUAUUAGUCAUGUAAAUUGGCCUAUGUCGGCUAAUAUCGUUAUGGGCCCAUAUGAUUAUUCUUAUGCAUGUAUGUUAUUAUCUCUUGUGAUGUGGCUUACAACAUGUAUGCCUAGAGAUUGAAUUGAGAUUCAUUGAUGAGCUAAUAACUAAUGCAGGAUUAAGUGAUUGGUAAAUAGUUAAUAAUGCUUCAUGAAUGGUUUGUGGAUAUGAUUAUGCAUGCUUUGUGAUGGACAUGAGGU
This 8921-nucleotide long non-coding RNA is filed under the name Gossypium barbadense (sea-island cotton). Its description in RNAcentral is "long non-coding RNA (GBAR_LNC008380)". Lineage: Eukaryota; Viridiplantae; Streptophyta; Magnoliopsida; Malvales; Malvaceae. The record is from RNAcentral.